UAGAAACAGGGCCUACUAGGAAACAAAGCAGAAUGUUCCAAGUUCCAAGUCAGGAGUUGUAGAAAAGAAUGCCACUUUCUGUUGGCUGAAGAAGGAUGAGAAAGUGAGGGACACAGAUAGAGCCACAUAAAGAAGUGUGGAAAGAAUUCAUGGAAGGCAAAGGAGCCAGGAUGAGUGUGUUAGCUCUUACUUUAGGAAGGAAAAUCCAGUGAAGAGUUUUUAUCAUGGGACCCAUGUCAUACUGCAGUGGAAAUUGGUCUGGCUCUGGCGUAGAGAGUCAAUCAGAAGAUCAGACUGAAUAGAAUGACUUCAUAAAGUGGCGACAGUGGCAAGCUAGGUGAGGAAAGCUCUGGAUUAAGAUAGGAAAGGGACAAUGGAGCUGGAGUAGGUCUUACCACCCUGAUGUGAUGGAGUUAGUUACUUAGAAUUCUUUCACUGAGUCAUGGUCUCCAUGGAGCUUCAGAACCUAGUGCAUGCAGGGCACAUGGUAAGUGCUUCAUACGUACCUGUUCAAAGAGAGCAAAGAAGAAAUUGAGAAGCAAAUUACUCUUACCAGUGUCCCGAUUCUGAAUUCAGGCUCAGAUUCAUUUAUUUUGACUGUAAAAUUCUCCUCAUCAGUGCUCACAAAGAGGUAUUUUAGAAACAUUAAUUUUAUUAAUUGUGUGUGUGUGUGCGUGGUGUACAUUCAUGGGCAUGUGCACAUAUGCAUGUCUAUGUGUAUGCAGGUACCCAGUGACCAGAAGACUAUAGCAUAUCUCCAUGAACUUGGAGUUUACACAAAGUUUAUGAGCCACUCAAUAAGUGUACUGGGAUCCAAUCUUGGGUUCUCAGCACUUAUAUUCUCUCUGCUUCGUGAAAAUGUAUAUUGA
This 869-nucleotide long non-coding RNA is filed under the name Mus spicilegus (steppe mouse). RNAcentral's name for it is "lncRNA (ENSMSIG00000023291.1)". The record is from RNAcentral. Lineage: Eukaryota; Metazoa; Chordata; Mammalia; Rodentia; Muridae.